UUCUUAUAUUGUCGUCUUCCCAUGUCUUCUUCCAGUGAGUAUAGGCAGGGUCUCUCCCUCUCCCUCCUUUCUCUCCAACAGAGGGUGGUUGUUGGCCAUGGGUCAGGGGACUCAAAGAGGGAAAGUUGGCCUGGGAGUGCCCCCUAGUACUCACCUCUCAACCAGAAGGUGGAAGGGCAAGACAGGAAUGGUGGCUGAUGAUGCUGGCUGCUUUGUUCUGUCUCCAGGUCCCUCUGGGGGACUCAGUGGCAGGAAGGUUCUGGCAGCUUCAGGUCAGAGAACUCAAAGAGGGAAAGGUUGUGAGUUUUUUCUUUUCAAUCCAGCAACUUUGCUGAAAGUGUUAUCAGCUGUAGGAGUUUCCUGGUGGAAUUUUUAGGGUCACUUAUGUAUAACAUCUUCAAAUAUAGAUAAUUUUACGACUUCUCUUCUAAAAAGGAACAAGAUGGGACACAGGAUAUAUUAUUAACUGGUAAUUUAUUAAGAAGAGAUACUCACACAAGGAGCCAAUAACCAGAUUUGGCAAUCCGAGAAGCCCAGAUCCAGAUGCCUCAGAGACCUGGCGUGGACCCUGAGAGAGGAGGAGCCCCUGCUCUCCUCGUUCUUUAUCCUACCCCCUACAUAUCUGUAACCACACCCAAAUGGGCAUGGUCAGUGGUACAGGUAUCCAGGGCCUUUCCUUACACUCUUCCAACUUUUAUCUUCUUGAUCUCCUUUAGUUGUCUUAUUGUUCUAAGUAGAACUUCAAGUACUAUAUUGAAUAGGUAUGUAGGGAGUGGACAGCCUUGUCUUGCUCCUAAUUUUAGUGGAGUUGCUUUGAGUUUCUCUCCAAUUUAAGUUGAUAUUGGCUGUAGGCUUGUGGUAAACUGAAUGCCAAUUAACGUUCACACUAGAGAUGGAAACAACAUAUAAAUGAUGUUACUUUCAUAAUGUUUUAAAGUGGUCAAUGAUAUUUUCAGACUCAUACUUUGGAGUUGAAGGGGAUUUGUUAUAGGACAUGAGAAGGCAUUCUUUAGUCCUAAAGAUACCAUUUCAACGAUUUUCUCUCUAUCUCCCUGUCUCUGUGUGUUUGUAUCUUUUGAUGAUGAGUUCACAAUCCAGUAAUAACAGAGAAAGCAACUCUCUUCCAGUAUGGACAUCAUAUUUUGUUAUUAGCCAUAUAUAUUACACAAAUAAAGGUUUUUGGCUUUAGCAUUUUUUAUAGCAUUACAACCAUCAUACUACUCACAUUUGGGCUCCAUAACAUAAAAGCCAACCUGAGGGACUCCACCUUCUCUGCUUACUUUUAUUCAUAUUACUAGGGUAGAUGUUUCCCAAACCACAAACUUGGAACUACUGGUAACCAUGAUUUUGAUAUCUUUUCAUUUAUCAGAUCUAUUUAUGAUCAUUUCUCUUUUCUCAAUGUCCCCUUUAAGACGGAGGCUACAGUUUCUUGACCAGUGCAGCUUUCAAGGAGGUUGUCUUUCACCACCAUUAUAUAAUGAUUUCCUCCCAAUGGAAACAUCCCCUCAACCCUGACAGGAGGAGUCUCAUGAAAUUCAGGAGGAAACCAGCUUCACAAGUCUUGGAAAGUUGAAAUGUGAUCCACCUCCAAGUUGUAGACAUUGUAAACAUUUGCCAGAGGAGGAGACUCUGGUCAGCUGAGGUGCUGAGAAGAGACUCUUGGCCCUGUUGAGCUGCCUAUAAGUCACACAGAGAGCUCUAGAAUUGAUAGUUUUUGAGUCAUCAACCUGUUAGGAUGGGCGUUUAGUGAUACAGCUACAUCAUCCUUGAGUAAUCCUUGCUCUUUUAAGUAACCCUUCACCCACACUUCUGUGAGCAAUCUCAAUACAAACUCAUUGGUUUACUAAUGAUUUUGAUAGGAUAGUUACUUUGAUCUGUUGUAGGUUCUCUAUCCCAGGUGAGUAGGUGUGUGUGUGUGUGUGUGUGUGUGUGUGUGUGUGUGUGGUGUGUCUUCCUGGUAAAAGUCCCACACAAUAACCCUCACCCCUAGACUUCAAGACCAAAAUGCCAUCUUGGGUCCAUGGCUUGCCUUGAGUGCUUUUCUGUCCUAUUCACUCUGUUAUCAUGACUGUUGGCUGACUCAAGAGUUUAGCAUUAUUCAUCAGUUCUGGGAAACUUCUGAACAAAAGAUUUGGACAUCUGCCAAGUUCACAUAGAAGCAUGAUGGCAUAUCAGGGCCAGUGAGUCAGUCCCCAAGAAGACAUUUCUUCACUGGCUCAGUCCUCAUUUCCAGUAGUACAAGGUUAGCUUGGGACAUGCUACCCUUUUUCAUUGCCUGUGUUGCAAGGAGUUGGGUAACAAAUUCCCAAUGCCUUUGGGAUGUCUCAACCUAAAUUGUCAAUUGGUGCUAAAUGAUUGGACUCACAUCUUGGUGAAUAUAAAACCCAAAAUGAACACAGCCAAGAAGUAAAAGAGCUGAGAAAGGUCAUAUAUUAUCUAUUGCAGGGAAGAAGAGCAAAACAAUUAUUUCCAAUGCAAUGACCACUUUGAACAAGGGAAGCCUGAGGAUUUUGUUUUAGAAGCCUGUACAUAUUAAAUAGAAAGAUACUUUAGGAGUAGGCACAUUACUGAGUAUGCUCAGUUAAUAAUUGCUUGAAUAUGUUUAGUUUAAAGUCAUAGUACAAAAGGUAAAGAUCAUGGACAAAGUUUUGACAAGUUUAGCUGAAUAUUAUGGAACACAUGUUUGAAAAAUUAAAAUAGUAUGUAGUAACACUUUUGGUCUUCCAUUUUGGGCUUAUCUAAUGUCAUAAAACUGAUGGACAAGGAGGACCUCUGGGCAUGUUCGUGUUCUCCUGGUGUUUUAGCUGAGAACAAUAGAGGAGAUUUGUCUCUAGAGGUACCUGCCCUCCUCAGUGGUUACCAGCUUCUUGUGGGUGUCAUCAUCAUUAGGAGACACACAAUUAUGCUGCUCCUGAAUGUUAAUCUCUUCUUCAGUUCCCAAACCCUGCAACUAAUGUGUCUUAGAACUUUUUGUUGUUGGGGAAAGGGAUAGAGAUGGAGACAGAGUCUUUCUAUACAGCUAGAGAUCAGGUCUAGAGAUCAGGCCCUGCCUUGUAGACCAGGACUAUGUGUAACAGGAUUUCCUUGAAUUUGCAGUAAUUCUCCUUUCUCUCUCAUUUGCCAGGAUUCCAGGUGUGUACUGACAUGUCCAGUGGUCUACCUCUUUUAAAAGAGCCAUCUGUGGGAUUAGAAGCAUUAGGGAAGAUAUUGUUGGUAUAUGAGCAGUGCCCCUUCAUGUUCUGAUGUACCUGAACAAGGAAGACCAUAGAUUAUGAUUAUUACUCUGGAAUUCCAAAUCCUGACUGUGCAAAGCUCCAUGGUGAUGAAACAAUCAAGAAAAAGAUGAUGGAUACAAGGGGAGCACAGGUUCAGCGUCACAGGGACUGGGGAGAGGACUCAGCAGUUAAGAACACUGGCUUCUUUUCUUGAGAACCUG
Molecule: non-coding RNA, 3436 nt
Organism: Cricetulus griseus (Chinese hamster)
Lineage: Eukaryota; Metazoa; Chordata; Mammalia; Rodentia; Cricetidae
Source: RefSeq, a predicted model, not a curated record